Molecule: ribosomal RNA, 119 nt
Filed under: Pteropus alecto (black flying fox)
Lineage: Eukaryota; Metazoa; Chordata; Mammalia; Chiroptera; Pteropodidae
Source: RNAcentral
GUCUAUGGCCAUGCCACUCUGAACACGCUCCAUCUCGUCUGAUCUCUAAAGCUAAGCAGGGUUAGGCCUGGUUAGUACUUGGAUGGGAGCCCACCUAGGAAUACCAGGUGCUGUAGGCU